AAGUGGGAUGACGUCAAGUCCUCAUGGCCCUUAUAGGUGGGGCUACACACGUCAUACAAUGGCUGGUACAAAGGGUUGCCAACCCGCGAGGGGGAGCUAAUCCCAUAAAGCCAGUCGUAGUCCGGAUCGUAGUCUGCAACUCGACUACGUGAAGUCGGAAUCGCUAGUUAAUCGUGGAUCAGAAUGUCACGGUGAGUACGUUCCCGGGUCUU
This 212-nucleotide ribosomal RNA is filed under the name uncultured Rhodoferax sp. Its description in RNAcentral is "partial 16S ribosomal RNA". It matches the Rfam family "Bacterial small subunit ribosomal RNA", at positions 1171 to 1382 of the family's 1533-position model. The record is from RNAcentral. Lineage: Bacteria; Pseudomonadati; Pseudomonadota; Betaproteobacteria; Burkholderiales; Comamonadaceae.